GCACAAGAACAAACCGUCUUGUCCAACAACUUUUUACAGAGACAUCAGCUCCACUAACUUCUGCAGUGCACCCUUUCAGGCCUUUGCACAGUUGCCCUAUUCCUCUCUUUCUCCUCUCACCAAAACCCUAAUCUCCUAUAAAGAAUUGAAGUUCUUGCUUUUCAUUGGAAUUGGAAAUUGAUACGAUAAAAGGAAAAUUAAAAGAAAAAAUAAAGAAAGAAA
RNAcentral lists this unclassified non-coding RNA (222 nucleotides) under Hevea brasiliensis (rubber tree). Lineage: Eukaryota; Viridiplantae; Streptophyta; Magnoliopsida; Malpighiales; Euphorbiaceae. The record is from RNAcentral.